UACGUAGGGCGCAAGCGUUAUCCGGAAUUACUGGGCGUAAAGCGUGCGCAGGCGGUUUUGUAAGCCAGAUGUGAAAGCCCCGGGCUCAACCUGGGAAUGGCAUUUGGGACUGCAAGGCUGGAGUUUGGCAGAGGAGAGUGGAAUUCCUGGUGUAGCGGUGAAAUGCGCAGAUAUCAGGAAGAACACCCGUGGCGAAGGCGGCUCUCUGGGACGGUACUGACGCUGAGACGCGAAAGCCAGGGGAGCAAACGGG
Molecule: ribosomal RNA, 253 nt
Filed under: uncultured bacterium
Lineage: Bacteria
Description: partial 16S ribosomal RNA
Rfam family: Bacterial small subunit ribosomal RNA
Source: RNAcentral